Molecule: ribosomal RNA, 922 nt
Filed under: Orientocreadium pseudobagri
Lineage: Eukaryota; Metazoa; Platyhelminthes; Trematoda; Plagiorchiida; Orientocreadiidae
Description: partial large subunit ribosomal RNA
Rfam family: Eukaryotic large subunit ribosomal RNA
Source: RNAcentral
CUCAUAACGGCGAGGAACAGGGAAAAGCCCAGCACCGAAGCCUGUGGCCAUUUGGUUACUAGGCAAUGUGGUGUUUAGGUCGUUCCACAGAGGUUCUGCUCCACCCUAAGUCCAUCAAUGAGUACGGUAGUAUGGACAUGGCCCGCAGAGGGUGAAAGGCCCGUGGGGGUGGAGACAUAAUGGCCAGAGCCUCUCUGGGUAGACCUUGGAGUCGGGUUGUUUGUGAAUGCAGCCCAAAGUGGGUGGUAAACUCCAUCCAAGGCUAAAUACUUGCACGAGUCCGAUAGCGAACAAGUACCGUGAGGGAAAGUUGAAAAGUACUUUGAAGAGAGAGUAAACAGUGCGUGAAACCGCUCAGAGGUAAACGGGUGGAGUUGAACUGCAAGCUUUGAGAAUUCAGCUGGUGAGUAUGGUUUGAGCUGGGUUAAUUGGUGAACUCCGGAGUCUGCGUAUUAGCAGGUCUUCAUCUUCGGAUGGAGAUGCGCGGUGCACUCAUCAAGUGUUGUGCGCUCCGGUUUUUAUACCACCUGCUCGUCAGUGCACUUUCUCAAAGUAGUCACCUCGAUCGGCAUUGCUGUCCGGCGAACACGGUUAAACCUUUUUUGCAUUGUCUUGACCGGCUUUGUAAAAUCGGGAAGGCAGGUAGCUCGUUGGCUUGCUUGUAGCUCGCUACAGGCGUUCGGUCUUCGAGUGUAUGCUGACCGUACUAGCAUUGUGCAGUAUGUCGGAGACGGCGGCUUGUGGUGUGUGCAUGUGUAAUCAUUUGCUGACUUGUCCGGGUUUGGUUAUUUAGUUGCCUGUAAAAGCAGGCCUGGUGAUGGCCCGGGUGUGUUCGGUGGAUGUUUGCAUGUGUUUCACUAGUCCAAGGGCCAAUAGUCUGAGGUGUAGUGGUAGACUUUCCACCUGACCCGUCUUGAAAACG